This 253-nucleotide ribosomal RNA is filed under the name uncultured bacterium. RNAcentral's name for it is "partial 16S ribosomal RNA". It matches the Rfam family "Bacterial small subunit ribosomal RNA", at positions 524 to 776 of the family's 1533-position model. The record is from RNAcentral.
UACGUAGGUGGCUAGCGUUGUCCGGAUUUACUGGGCGUAAAGAGCGCGCAGGCGGUCGUUCAAGUCGAGUGUGAAAGCCCCCGGCUCAACUGGGGAGGGUCACUCGAUACUGAUCGACUCGAAGGCAGGAGAGGGAAGCGGAAUUCCCGGUGUAGUGGUGAAAUGCGUAGAUAUCGGGAGGAACACCAGUGGCGAAGGCGGCUUUCUGGCCUGCUCUUGACGCUGAGGCGCGAAAGCUAGGGUAGCAAACAGG